AAGUCGUAACAAGGUUUCCGUAGGUGAACCUGCGGAAGGAUCAUUAAAAAUGAAGCCGGGAAACCGGUCCUUCUAACCCUUGAUUAUCUUAAUUUGUUGCUUUGGUGGGCCGCGCAAGCACCGGCUUCGGCUGGAUCGUGCCCGCCAGAGGACCACAACUCUGUAUCAAAUGUCGUCUGAGUACUAUAUAAUAGUUAAAACUUUCAACAACGGAUCUCUUGGUUCUG
Molecule: unclassified non-coding RNA, 227 nt
Filed under: air metagenome
Description: partial contains small subunit ribosomal RNA, internal transcribed spacer 1, and 5.8S ribosomal RNA
Rfam family: Eukaryotic small subunit ribosomal RNA (bases 1-46)
Source: RNAcentral